RNAcentral lists this ribosomal RNA (467 nucleotides) under uncultured bacterium. RNAcentral describes it as "partial 16S ribosomal RNA". It matches the Rfam family "Bacterial small subunit ribosomal RNA", at positions 28 to 507 of the family's 1533-position model. The record is from RNAcentral.
GAUGAACGCUGGCGGCGUGCUUAACACAUGCAAGUCGAACGGAAAGGCCCAAGCUUGCUUGGGUACUCGAGUGGCGAACGGGUGAGUAACACGUGGGUGAUCUGCCCUGCACUUCGGGAUAAGCCUGGGAAACUGGGUCUAAUACCGGAUAGGACCACAUUUUGGGUGGUGUGGUGGAAAGUUUUUCGGUGUGGGAUGAGCUCGCGGCCUAUCAGCUUGUUGGUGGGGUAAUGGCCUACCAAGGCGUCGACGGGUAGCCGGCCUGAGAGAGUGUACGGCCACAUUGGAACUGUGAUACAGGCCAGACUCCUACGGGAGGCAGCAGUGGGGAAUAUUGCACAAUGGGCGCAAGCCUGAUGCAGCGACGCCGCGUGGGGGAUGACGGCCUUCGGGUUGUAAACUCCUUUCGCUAGGGACGAAGCGUUUUUGUGACGGUACCUGGAGAAGAAGCACCGGCUAACUACGUG